GUGCAGCAGUCGCGAAACCUCCGCAAUACACGAAAGUGUGACGGGGCCAUCCCGAGUGCCGUCCGCUGAGGACGGCUUUUCCCCAGUGUACACAGCUGGGGGAAUAAGGAGAGGGCAAGCCUGGUGUCAGCCGCCGCGGUAAUACCAGCUCUCCGAGUGGUGGGGACGCUUAUUGGGCCUAAAGCAUCCGUAGCCGGCUGGGCAAGUCCUCCGUUAAAUCCAACGAUUCAAUCGUUGGGCUGCGGGGGAUACUGUCCAGCUUGGGGGCGGGAGAGGCCGACGGUAUUCCCGGGGUAGGGGUGAAAUCCUAUAAUCCCGGGAGGACCACCAGUGGCGAAGGCUGUCGGCUAGAACGCGCCCGACGGUGAGGGAUGAAAGCUGGGGGAGCGAACCGGAUUAGAUACCCGCGUAGU
RNAcentral lists this ribosomal RNA (413 nucleotides) under uncultured microorganism. Its description in RNAcentral is "bacterial SSU rRNA". It matches the Rfam family "Archaeal small subunit ribosomal RNA", at positions 330 to 745 of the family's 1478-position model. The record is from RNAcentral.